Clupea harengus (Atlantic herring) is the source of this 590-nucleotide non-coding RNA. Lineage: Eukaryota; Metazoa; Chordata; Actinopteri; Clupeiformes; Clupeidae. The record is from the annotation of a RefSeq genome assembly.
UUGGUGGAGGUUGCAGUGUAAACUUGAGGAAGUGAUCUCCCCACUGCUAUUUGCUCCCCAGCAGUCAACCAGGAUGCUGCUCUUCUGUGUGCUUCUCUUAGUAUCUCUGAUAGGGGAAAGUUCUGAACAGACAAUAACAGCAAUGAUGGCUGAAAUGAACGCUUUAGAUGGAGAAAAUGUCAUCCUCUCGUGCAAAUAUGAUGGCACGAACAUUCAGAGUUUGCAGUGGUAUCGCCUGUACCCCGGAUCUAAACCAGAAUAUGUGCUGUUAGUCUAUGAAGCUACAAACGCUGUCAUUCGUGCUGACCCUCAAAAUCUACGGCUCAAUGCCACGGUGAACUCGGACAGAAAACAAGUUUCUUUGGAGAUCUCCUCUGCAAAGAUCUCAGACGCUGCUGUGUACUACUGCGCUCUGCAGCCCACAGUGACAGGAAACACAACAAGCCUGUACAAAAACCCAGGAGCAAAUGGCAGUGUUUGGUUAGUGUCAUUGUGUGUUUACUGAUCUAUUUCACUACAGAAAUCUGAUUGAUAAUUUAAAUGAAAAGACAAAAUCACAUUACAUUGGAUCAUACAUUUUCAUAUAGUAU